UAUAUAUAACGUACUUUGUAUCUUAAAGUUGCCUAAUUUACGUUAAAAUAAAAGUUAAAUUGUUUUCAGUGAAAGUUAAAUUUCUAGGUUAAAAGUUUUAUUCGUUUUCUUUGAGUGUAGAUUUAAAAGUUCAACUUUUUGAUUAGAAAACUGUUGAAUUGUCAAUGCGCCCAGUAUCGUUUGAAGUCGAUGACAAACAACAACAAUAUAAGUUGUCAACUCAUUUUUAUUUUUGUCUUAUUCACGCACGAGUUUGAAGGAAAUUUUGAUUUAUCUGCGAAGUGCUUGCAGUAAGAAUCCUGACUGCAAGAUAUUCGGCUCCUGAAUCCCGUUGGCUGUUGAUACAAAAUUCUGUGCGACGUUGCGAUAAGGAAAAGCAACGCCCACUCUACGGCCAUGGCGGAAACAACCAAAAAAACACCAAGGAGAGAUCAGGAAAAAGAUAAUCCAAAUAAGCCGAACUCGAUUUACGCUAUUGACACGGAUUUGAUCGCUAUGUAAACACUAUGAUAAAUACGACAUUUUGAGGACAUCCACAUUUUGAAAUCCAGCUUUUGAUUCAACGCAAAUCAAAUAAUGAAUGUAGUUCAAAAUAAAUAUAUAAUAACAUAAAACCUGAAAUCGACUCAAUAAAAUUUUAAAAGAAAGCAUGAAUAGAGAAAUGGGAAAAAGUUUCUUGGGGAAACUAAACCUUCGUUUCAAAUUGAAAAUACUAAACUUUUUUUUCUACAUUUUGGCAGACAGUUCCACAAUAUUGUUUUGAAAGUUUUGUACUUUUAUUUUCAGAGCCUCAUGUCACUUUUGAAAUCUAGGUGUAACAAAAGUUUUCGUACUUUUUUUCUAAACAUACGGAACUCUCUACGAAAAAGAACCAACGCAACUUUUUAAUUUAACCAACGUUUCUU
Molecule: long non-coding RNA, 905 nt
Organism: Armigeres subalbatus
Lineage: Eukaryota; Metazoa; Arthropoda; Insecta; Diptera; Culicidae
Exons: 3
Source: RefSeq, a predicted model, not a curated record